UUAGAGAGUUUGAUCAUGGCUCAGGGUGAACGCUGGCGGCGCGCUUAAUGCAUGCAAGUCGAGCGUGCCUCCCGACUUCGGUUGGGUAGGCAAGCGGCAGACGGCUGAGUAACGCGUGAGUAAUUUGCCCUCCGGUGGGGUAUAGCCACGGGAAACUGUGGGUAAUCCCGCAUUCGAUCCCCAGACCCUGGUUUGGGGAGGAAAGCCUUCGGGCGCCGGAGGAGAAGCUCGCGUCCUAUCAGGUAGUUGGUGAGGUAAUGGCUCACCAAGCCGAUGACGGGUAGCUGGUCUGAGAGGACGACCAGCCAGAGGGGGACUGAGACACGGCCCCCACUCCUACGGGAGGCAGCAGCA
This 354-nucleotide ribosomal RNA is filed under the name Dehalococcoidia bacterium. Its description in RNAcentral is "bacterial SSU rRNA". It matches the Rfam family "Bacterial small subunit ribosomal RNA", at positions 1 to 356 of the family's 1533-position model. The record is from RNAcentral. Lineage: Bacteria; Bacillati; Chloroflexota; Dehalococcoidia.